GCCACCGUAGCUCAGCCGGUGGAGCGCCACCUUGGUAAGGUGGAGGUCCCGGGUUCGAUUCCCGGCGGUGGCU
This 73-nucleotide transfer RNA is filed under the name Candidatus Aciduliprofundum boonei. RNAcentral describes it as "tRNA-Thr". It matches the Rfam family "tRNA". Rfam says of the family: Transfer RNA (tRNA) molecules are approximately 80 nucleotides in length. Their secondary structure includes four short double-helical elements and three loops (D, anti-codon, and T loops). Lineage: Archaea; Methanobacteriati; Thermoplasmatota. RNAcentral also lists the same sequence under 6 other names. The record is from RNAcentral.